CAACUUGUCAUUAUAUGAAACGGGGCAAAAUUCAGCAGUAAUUUUGUCACUUGAACAAGAACGGCAGCAGCCAAUGAAAACUAUGGUGG
This is a non-coding RNA of Lodderomyces elongisporus NRRL YB-4239, 89 nucleotides long. Lineage: Eukaryota; Fungi; Ascomycota; Pichiomycetes; Serinales; Debaryomycetaceae. The record is from Rfam.